This 253-nucleotide ribosomal RNA is filed under the name uncultured prokaryote. Its description in RNAcentral is "partial 16S ribosomal RNA". It matches the Rfam family "Bacterial small subunit ribosomal RNA", at positions 525 to 777 of the family's 1533-position model. The record is from RNAcentral.
ACGUAGGGUGCGAGCGUUAAUCGGAAUUACUGGGCGUAAAGCGUGCGCAGGCGGUUUUGUAAGCCAGAUGUGAAAUCCCCGGGCUUAACCUGGGAAUGGCAUUUGGGACUGCAAGGCUCGAGUGCGGCAGAGGAGACUGGAAUUCCCGGUGUAGCGGUGAAAUGUGUAGAGAUCGGGAGGAACACCGGUGGCGAAGGCGGGUCUCUGGGCAUUUCCUGACGCUGAGGCGCGAAAGCGUGGGGAGCAAACGGGA